AUACAUUAUUCUCAUCCAAGGUAUAUUCAAGUAUACCUCCUCUGGAAAAAACACCAUUGGAAAAAGUUAGAGACCAUAGAAAAUAUCUGUUUUUAAUCAAAAGAAAAAUUAUGAAAAAAUCUAAAAGCAUGGGAGGGAAUAUACAGCUGGCUCAUGUUUUAGUGAAUUAUAUUUAUUUUGGUCAUGGAAAAAGUUGCUUCCUAUUUUCCCAUUAGUCUGUAGUCAACCCCAUCCACAAAAUCUAUUUCUAGAAUUUAAGUUGAAGGCAUAAGUUAAAAGAAAAAAGUAACUAUCUUUCAAUCAAAAAGUAAAUCAGUAAAAGUUGCAAAACUGCUUUAUUUUAAUAUGGACAUUGUGAAGCGCUUUAAAAUACUUUAAAAUUAAUCUUUAGAUUAUAUAGGGUAGUGAGUUUAGUGGUGGCUCCCCAAAAGAUAUGUCCUUGUUCCAAUCCUUAGAACCUGUGAAUGUGACUUUGUUUGGAAAAGGGCCCUUGCAGGUGUAAUGAAAUUAAGGAUCUUGAGAUGAAAGUAUCCUGAAUUACCUAUGUGGACCCCAAACCGAAUGAUGAGUGCCAUUAUAAAAGACAGAGAAAGAAAGGUGAUGUGACAUUGGAGUGGGAGAGCUUAGAGUGAUAUGGUCACAAGCCAAGGAAAGGAAUGCUGAGAGCCCCCAGACAUUGGAAGAGACAAGAAAAGAUUCACCCCAAGAGUCCUGGAGGAGUGUAGCCCUGCCAACACCUUGAUUUUAGUCUUGUGGCCUCUAGAAAUGUGAUUUCUGUGGUAUUGAGCCAGCAACUUUGUUAUAGCAGCCACAGGACACUAAUACACAUAGGGUUCAACCAAUUCAUUGAGCAGCAUAUUACAUGUUAGUUGUGCUGCAAGUCAUUGAGGAAAUCAUUUCUGUCUAUAAGAGCCUUACACAAGUGUAGUGAGUCAGAUAUGGGUGGACCUUUACAGUGCUGUGUGAAAAGAUUUAUUACAAAGUUAUAUAGACACAUAUGAAUAAGGGGAACAUGGAAAGAAUACCAGUGUUUUUCUGAAAAAUGCCAAAGUUAGGUCAGCUGCAGGCAAUGCUUGGCUUGUAAAUGAAAGCAUUUUUUUUAAAUAAGCUAUUUUUAAUACUUCUAUUAACAAUAUUAAAAGGAUGUAAUCAAUAACCUAAAGGUUUGAAUGAGAUGAAUUUUUAAGCUAGAGUAUACUUCAUGAAGGGAACGUUUCAGUCUGUUCUUUAAAUACUAAGAGAAACAAAGUAUAACAUUCAACAUGCUAUGACUCUUCCUGGGCUUUUUAACACCUCUGUCAACCUAAGCUGUCAGAUUUUCUUUCAUGAAAAUAUAUCUCUAAUUUUACAAUGGAAUCCACUGAAUAGAUACUUGUCAUUCUGAUAUUUAUCACUACUAUAAAAAAUGACAGAGUAUUUUAAGCUUUAUGGAGGCAUAAUUUACAUGCUGUAAAAUUUGGUUAUUUUAAGUGUGCAACAUAAUGCUUUGUAAUAAAUUUAACGAGUUGUGCAAACAUUACUACAAUCCAGUUUUAGAACAUUUCCACCACCCCCAAAGACCCCUUGUGAUUAUUUGCAAUCAAUUCUUACCCCCAGUCACAAUUUCAGACAACUCCUCUCUUUUCUGUCUCCAUCAUCUAGCCGUUUCUACACAUUUCAUGUAAAUCUGAUAAUUAAAUAUUCUUUUGUAUCAGAUUUCUUUAACUUAGCAGAAUGUUUUUGAGGUUUAUCCAUGUUACAACAUAUAUCAUUAUUUCACUUGUGUUCUUGCCAAAUAGUAUUUAUAAAUGUUUUCAUUUUGUUUAUAAAUGUUUUGUUGAUCCAGUCACCAAUCACUGGACAUUUGGAUGCUUUUAUUCAGGGCCAUUAUGAAUAAUCCUGCUAUAUACAUUUGCCUACAAAUAUUUGUGUGGACAUAUGUUUUUAGUGUUUGGAAGAGUGGAUAAAUACCUAAGAGGGAAAUUGCUCGGUUAUAUGGUAAGUUUCAUGUUGUCAUUAUUAAAACACUUUUCCAAAUUGACUGUGCCAGUACUCAUUUCCUACCAGUAAUGUGUGAAGUUUCUAGUUAUUCUAUAUCUUCAUGAAUAUUUCUUAUUGUGUAUCUUUUUAAUGAUAGCCUUCCUGGUGGAUGCAAACUGGUAUCUCAUUUUGACUAAUGACUAAUGGUGUUGACUGUGGCCUUUGAAACCAUUUAGGUGGACUUUGGCUCUUCAGUCCUGUCUUUGGUCUUCUAAGACUCAUGUAUUUUUCUUUUCUUUUCUUUUUUUUUUUUUCUUUAAUCAAGAAGCACAUAGAACACACAGUAGGAAGAGCAGAAGGUUAUAAGGAGAGCUGAGUACAAAAAUGAAAUAAAGAAGAUGGUGAGGGAAAGUUAUGAGAAUAAAGUAGAUGCAUGAUUAUGGGAAAGAGAGGAGAAGGAAGAGCUUAUUAAAAAAAAAUUGCAUUGGGAGAAGGAGGGUGGGGUUAUGGACAUUGGGGAAGGUAUGUGCUUUGGUGAGUGCUGUGAAGUGUGUAAACCUGGCGAUUCACAGACCUGUACCCCUGGGGAUAAAAAUAUAUGUUUAUAAAAAAUAAAAAUUU
Mustela lutreola (European mink) is the source of this 2580-nucleotide long non-coding RNA. RefSeq lists it as uncharacterized. NCBI's taxonomy places the organism in Eukaryota, Metazoa, Chordata, Mammalia, Carnivora, Mustelidae. The record is from RefSeq and is a predicted model, not a curated record. The transcript has 2 exons.